GAGGAAUAUUGGUCAAUGGGCGAGAGCCUGAACCAGCCAAGUCGCGUGAAGGAAGAAGGAUCUAUGGUUCGUAAACUUCUUUUGCAGGGGAAUAAAGUGCAGGACGUGUCCUGUUUUGUAUGUACCCUGAGAAUAAGGAUCGGCUAACUCCGUGCCAGCAGCCGUGGUAAUACGGAGGAUCCGAGCGUUAUCCGGAUUUAUUGGGUUUAAAGGGUGCGUAGGUGGUUUGAUAAGUCAGCGGUGAAAGUUUGCAGCUUAACUGUAAAAUUGCCGUUGAAACUGUUAUUCUUGAGAGUAGAUAAGGUAGGCGGAAUGUGUUGUGUAGCGGUGAAAUGCAUAGAUAUAACACAGAACCCCGAUUGCGAAGGCAGCUUACCGGGCUACAUCUGACGCUGAUGCACGAAGGCGUGGGGAUCAAAC
This 420-nucleotide ribosomal RNA is filed under the name uncultured bacterium. Its description in RNAcentral is "bacterial SSU rRNA". It matches the Rfam family "Bacterial small subunit ribosomal RNA", at positions 356 to 773 of the family's 1533-position model. The record is from RNAcentral.